CCCUGCUUGUCUUGGAUCCGACCACAGGCCCAUCCCAGGGAUUUGGGGUCAGAGAGCUUAAUAAAUCAUCCUGCCCAGCACAUGCAAGCCUGGAGCCCUCCUCCUGGCUUUCUGAGAUCUGACCUCUGCUGACCUCUCCCACCCACCUCCCUCUUGCCAGGCCAGAGACCGGUGAAUUUCUCGAACACGCGAUUCUCUUCCUGCCUCUCCAGGACUGUGCACAGGCUGUUCCCUCCACCUGGAAUGUUCUCUCCCUUUCUCCAGGCUUCACCAAGAUAAUGCUUCCGGCUGGUUCAAAUUUCGGCUCAAAGAUCACCUCCUUCUCUGUUCUUCCAGCAAAGGCAGACGAGAAGGCUGGCGCUGUGGCCUCCACCUUGGAUCAUGAGGAGGGCCACACCCUAAGGAUGGCAGAGUUGUGACCAGGAAGGAGCCUGGGACACUGAGAGCUUUGUGGAGUCUUCAAACCAGCCCUGAACUGCCUACAUCUGGACUUCAUUCACACGAGAGAAAAAUAAACUCUUUUGUUUAUUGUUGA
Leopardus geoffroyi (Geoffroy's cat) is the source of this 535-nucleotide long non-coding RNA. RefSeq lists it as uncharacterized. The transcript has 2 exons. The record is from RefSeq and is a predicted model, not a curated record. NCBI's taxonomy places the organism in Eukaryota, Metazoa, Chordata, Mammalia, Carnivora, Felidae.